UACGUAGGGAGCAAGCGUUGUCCGGAAUCAUUGGGCGUAAAGCGCACGUAGGCGGCUUCGCAAGUCGGAUGUGAGAUCCCUCGGCUCAACCGAGGACGUGCAUACGAAACUGCGGAGCUUGAGUGCUGAAGAGGAUCGCGGAAUUCCCGGUGUAGAGGUGAAAUUCGUAGAUAUCGGGAGGAACACCAGUGGCGAAGGCGGCGAUCUGGGCAGACACUGACGCUGAGGUGCGAAAGCGUGGGGAGCAAACAGG
Molecule: ribosomal RNA, 253 nt
Filed under: uncultured bacterium
Lineage: Bacteria
Description: partial 16S ribosomal RNA
Rfam family: Bacterial small subunit ribosomal RNA
Source: RNAcentral